Long non-coding RNA from Carassius auratus (goldfish), 2090 nucleotides. NCBI's taxonomy places the organism in Eukaryota, Metazoa, Chordata, Actinopteri, Cypriniformes, Cyprinidae. The record is from Ensembl.
AUGUUGGGAGAGACCGGAAGGUUGCCGCUUGUUUCAAAUGCACGGAUUCAUUCAGGAACAAAACUAGUGAAUGUCUUUAUGAUGCUCUCAGAUGGGGGGAAAAAACCUCAACACUCAGAGAGUAGAAUGAUGUGGAUGAAAGGAGGGAAAGGAGGAGGAUGACGAUGAUUUAUUUGCAGUACUUCGAGGACACAAGUCAAUGUUUUUUGUUUUGUUUCUUGUUUGCUUUCAUAAUGGAGUGACCUAGUCUCCCGAGUCGCCAGAUGAGUAAGACUCGUGAUUGGUGAACGCCUGAAGGAAACAUAAACAAGGAAAGAAAAGCGAAAGGCUCACUCAUAAUAUUUUGAUAGGGUUUCUGGACAUUAACACUUGACUGCACUGAUUUGUCAACCAUGUCCCGAGGACAUGUGAGUGUGUGUUGGUUGUGCUGUUGCGAGGUCUUUAUAUGACUUAGAUAUGAGCUAAAGUGUACGAUAAAGAUACACUUUAUUAUCUAGCAUGAGGAAAUAUUUAUUAUGCACACAAUUUACUUAAUAAUUGCUCAAAUAAAUUCCAUUGUAUUAAUAUACAAUAUUUUUCCCCUUUACUUGAAAUGUAUUAUAAAGAAAACAGUUCCUUAUUUAUUUAUUUAUUUAAUUAUUUAUUCAUUAAUUCAUUCCCAAUUUAAAUGUUAACAUACAGGGUUACACCUUUUGGCCUACUGUUUUGGCCUACUAAUUGUACUAUGUAAUUCAUUUUAUUUUCAGUUUAUUUAUUUUCUUGUAUUUCUUCUCUUAUCCCAAACAUAAGUACAUUUUCAGCUCAAAAGUAACAUCCUGUCAUCAUUUACUCACCAUCAUGUCAUUUCAACUGACUUACUUUCUUCCGUUGAACAAGAAAGAUACAUUAUUGGUGAAUUGUUAGGUUUGUCAAAAUCCAAAAAACAUAGUACGAAUUAUAAGCAAAAAGUCUGAAUUCCAAGUUUAAAUCUUGCAGGUGUGUUUAUAUCUCACUAUUUCUGAUUCAUGAAUAUUUGACUCUUUUUUUUUUUAAAUGUUACAAUCUCCUUAUUUUCAUGUUUUGUACUGUGCCAGAAGUGAAAGUCGUGAAAGUGAAAGUCGUGACAUUUGCCAAGUAUGUUAACCCAUACUAAGAAUUGGUGCUUCGCAUUUAACCCAUCCAAGUGCACACACACAGCAGUGAGAAGUAAACACAUCCGGAGCAGUGGGCAGCUAUAGAUCCAGCGUCUGGGCAGCAACUGGGGGUUCAGUGCCUUGCUCAAGGGCACUUCAGUCAUGGGUAUUGAGGGUGGAAGAGUUCAUUAACUCCCUCCCACCUACAACUCCUGCCAGCACUGAGACUCGAACCAGCGACCUUCUAGUAACUAGUCCAAGUCUCUAACCAUUAGUCCACAGCUGCCCCAGAAACAGAUUUCCAUAAAAUUAAAAAGGAAAUUGAUUUUUUUUUUCAAGGGAAAUAAAAGCACACCACUAACUAUUCCCUCUAAAAUCAUUAUUUUUUCCAUCAAUGCUUCUGUUUUAUUCUGCUUUUUGAGGACACAAAGCUUUCAGUUUAAUUGUUCAAAUACUAGUGUCAAAAUCCAUUAGUUUUGAUCCUAAUAUUUUGGCACAGUGGUACAUCCAGACUCUGUGCUUUACUAACCAGACAAUAUUUAUUCAAAACCAGCAAAUUCCCAUUCUUAGUCAUCUGCCCUGGGCUCCUAAGGGGAAACUCUCUGUGAAAAACAGGAAAAUUAUGGAAGAGUUCAAAGAGAAUCUUGAAUCUUUCUAACAGUUAGGCUUCCCAUGAGCAUGGAGCGCAUUCGUAAAACAGCUUCAUUAUAGUGAAAAACUAUUUAGUCAUGAUUAAUGUCUCCAUCUUUUUAUUAUUCUUCUGAUCUCAGCCUUGUUUUGACGAUAAAGUCCACUCUUAUCAUUAGGUCACACACCUCUACGACGAACAGAAAAUUUGCUUUUGUCUGCAGCCAAGUUUAAACAGAAGAAAAACUUGAUGUACAUUCAACUUCUGGCACUUUUCCCAGAAGUAGAUUUUUAUUCAAAUUAACGUAUUUCAGCAUUCUUCUUUUUUGUUAUAAAACUAUUAUAUCAUUG